CAGUUCUAAUUAAAUAAUCAUCGCUCAAUCACUAUCUUAGACACCAUCUGACCCUAACCAAUUUCAAAUUUGGUUAACCUAAGUGAUCAAAGCUUGAGCCACUAAGCCAAGAUCAGAUUAUGAGUCAAGAUUUUUAACACAUGCAAGUCAAUUGAUUUGAUCCUACAACAUUGAUUCGAUCUUGAGCUGACUCGACCUAAUCGUAAUCAACUCCUUGAUUCGAUUAGAUCAAUUGCUCAUCUCGAUUAAGCCCAACAUCUGCUAAUCAAGAAUCCUAGGACUCUAAUCAAAUUAGAGAUCCAAAUUGAUCAACCCAUGAACCCA
This 324-nucleotide long non-coding RNA is filed under the name Elaeis guineensis (African oil palm). Its description in RNAcentral is "long non-coding RNA (EGUI_LNC035038)". Lineage: Eukaryota; Viridiplantae; Streptophyta; Magnoliopsida; Arecales; Arecaceae. The record is from RNAcentral.